Non-coding RNA from Tinamus guttatus (white-throated tinamou), 140 nucleotides. The record is from RefSeq and is a predicted model, not a curated record. Lineage: Eukaryota; Metazoa; Chordata; Aves; Tinamiformes; Tinamidae.
GACGAGAGGAAGUGCAACUACGAGCGCUACCGGGGCCUCGUGCAGAACGACUUCGCCGGCAUCUCGGAGGAGCAGUGUCUCUACCAGAUCUACAUCGACGAGCUCUACGGGGGGCUGCAGAAGCCCAACGAGGAUGAGAA